RNAcentral lists this long non-coding RNA (1347 nucleotides) under Monodelphis domestica (gray short-tailed opossum). RNAcentral's name for it is "lncRNA (ENSMODG00000048104.1)". The record is from RNAcentral. Lineage: Eukaryota; Metazoa; Chordata; Mammalia; Didelphimorphia; Didelphidae.
AUGGGAGGAAGUGGGGAGGGAUGGGGGAAGAUGAGGGAGACAGGGUGCAGGGGACAGCAGAAUGGAGGGACAGUCAAUAAGGAUGGGGGUGACGGAGCAGGGCUAGCAGGAGUAUGUGAUAGAGGACCUCUGUCGACUCCGCGGCUCAGCGCCUCACGGCCCAAGACUCCCGUCACUCCCGUCAGCGUCACCUCCGCCGCUGCCACCGUGGUCCAGCGCUUGCUUGGGCAGCCCGUACAAAUGCGUCUGCGCAGGGAGCAGCCCCGGAGAAGCCAGUUCAGACCAAUCCCAGAAUCCUCCACACGCUGUCAAGGUCUCGUGGGGAAGGCUGGGAAAUGUAGUCCGGAGGGCUUUGCCGCAGAAGAACGAGCCUUUGGCGGCCGGGGCUGCGGUGUCGGACCGAACUGGAUAACCUUGGAGGUCCCGCGGGCUGUAAAUCUAGGGUACUGCGUCCCUUGUAUCUACUCAGCCAGGCAUCUCCAGCAGCCCAGAGGACAUCGCCAUCUGCAUUGUUCCCAGCAGGGGCAGACCCAAAGCAAAUCCAUCAUUAAUGUGCCAGUCUGUAGCGGGGGCUCUAGUGGAGGGACCCAGGAGUCUGUGCCCCCGACCGAGAAAGUUCAGAAGGCUGUGGCUGAUACUCUAGAUUUCAGUCCAAUGAUCUCCCUUCAAGUUGUACCUAACUUGUCUGCCAGCAAUAAGGAACAAGUAGCCUAUAUGGUGGUCCAAAGGAAAAAAAGAGGGUUUGGGGAGGGAACAGGGCUUCUGUCAUUCAAAUUCCUAAUUUUGACACCUGAAUAUUAAAGCAGUAAGUCUUAAAGAAACGUUCUUCAUGUUCACUCCAUACUCAGAUGGGCCAAAAGAAGAGCUGGUCUCCUGUGUGAAGCUUCUGUGUUUGACCAGUCCUGCUGGUCUACUAAAACAUUACCACACUUGUGGCAUUUAUAGGGCUUCUCUCCAGUCUGAAUCCUCUGAUGUCCAGUAAGGUAGGUUCUCCUACUGAAGGAUUUCCCACAUUCACUACAAGAAUAGGGUUUCAUUCCAGUGUGAAUUCUCUGGUGUCCAAUAAGGUAUUCCCUUUGACUGGAAGUUUUCCCACAUUCAAUACAUAAAUAAGGUUUCUCUCCAGUAUGCACUCUGUGAUGUUGAAUAAGAAAGAAGCUAGAGCUGAAGGAUUUCCCACACUCCCUGCAUUCACAGUGUUUCUCUCCAGUGUGCCGUCCCUUGUGUUGGGCAAGGUUUGUUUUAUCGACAAAUGCUUUCCCACAUUCAUCACAGUUUUAUGAUUUCUCUCCAGUAUGAGUUUUUAGAUGACAAUAAAGGAACGUGUUGCGAUGGAAGCCUUUCCCA